Molecule: ribosomal RNA, 582 nt
Filed under: Hansenula anomala
Lineage: Eukaryota; Fungi; Ascomycota; Saccharomycetes; Phaffomycetales; Wickerhamomycetaceae
Description: Wickerhamomyces anomalus partial large subunit ribosomal RNA
Rfam family: Eukaryotic large subunit ribosomal RNA
Source: RNAcentral
AGGUUGCCUCAGUACGGCGAGUGAAGCGGCAAAAGCUCAAAUUUGAAAUCUAGCACCUUCGGUGUUCGAGUUGUAAUUUGAAGAUGGUAACCUUGGGUUUGGCUCUUGUCUAUGUUCCUUGGAACAGGACGUCAUAGAGGGUGAGAAUCCCGUCUGAUGAGAUGCCCAUUCCUAUGUAAGGUGCUAUCGAAGAGUCGAGUUGUUUGGGAAUGCAGCUCUAAGUGGGUGGUAAAUUCCAUCUAAAGCUAAAUAUUGGCGAGAGACCGAUAGCGAACAAGUACAGUGAUGGAAAGAUGAAAAGAACUUUGAAAAGAGAGUGAAAAAGUACGUGAAAUUGUUGAAAGGGAAGGGCAUUAGAUCAGACUUGGUGUUUUACGAUUAUCUUCUCUUCUUGAGUUGUGCACUCGUAUUUCACUGGGCCAGCAUCGAUUCGGAUGGCAAGAUAAUGGCAGUUGAAUGUGGCUUCACUUCGGUGGAGUGUUAUAGCUUCUGCUGAUAUUGCCUGUCUGGAUCGAGGGCUGCGUCUUUUGACUAGGAUGCUGGCGUAAUGAUCUAAUGCCGCCCGUCUUGAACAACGGACCA